This 205-nucleotide ribosomal RNA is filed under the name Clostridioides difficile. RNAcentral describes it as "partial 23S ribosomal RNA". It matches the Rfam family "Bacterial large subunit ribosomal RNA", at positions 1504 to 1708 of the family's 2925-position model. Lineage: Bacteria; Bacillati; Bacillota; Clostridia; Peptostreptococcales; Peptostreptococcaceae. The record is from RNAcentral.
AUGUGUGCCCAAGCAUUGAGGCAGUCAAAGUAGGCAAAUCCGCUUUGAUAAUGCUGGGAUGUGAUGGGGAGCGAAAUUUAGUAGCGAAGUAGCUGAUUUCACCCUGUCAAGAAAAGUCUCUAUCGAGGUUAAAGGUACCCGUACCGCAAACCGACACAGGUGGGUGAGGAGAGUAUCCUAAGGCCAGCGAGAGAACUGUUGUUAA